RNAcentral lists this ribosomal RNA (401 nucleotides) under uncultured bacterium. RNAcentral's name for it is "bacterial SSU rRNA". It matches the Rfam family "Bacterial small subunit ribosomal RNA", at positions 356 to 773 of the family's 1533-position model. The record is from RNAcentral.
GGGGAAUCUUGCGCAAUGGGCGAAAGCCUGACGCAGCAACGCCGCGUGGGGGAUGAAGGCUCUCGGGUCGUAAACCCCUUUCAGCAGGGACGAUUGUGACGGUACCUGCAGAAGAAGGCCCGGCCAACUACGUGCCAGCAGCCGCGGUAACACGUAGGGGCCAAGCGUUGUCCGGAUUUAUUGGGCGUAAAGAGCUCGUAGGCGGUUCGGUAAGUCGGGUGUGAAAACUCUGGGCUCAACCCAGAGACGCCACUCGAUACUGCUGUGACUAGAGUCCGGUAGGGGAGCAUGGAAUUCCUGGUGUAGCGGUGAAAUGCGCAGAUAUCAGGAGGAACACCAGCGGCGAAGGCGGUGCUCUGGGCCGGAACUGACGCUGAGGAGCGAAAGCGUGGGUAGCGAAC